Molecule: long non-coding RNA, 515 nt
Filed under: Phoenix dactylifera (date palm)
Lineage: Eukaryota; Viridiplantae; Streptophyta; Magnoliopsida; Arecales; Arecaceae
Description: long non-coding RNA (PDAC_LNC002844)
Source: RNAcentral
UUAAACUACGAAGCAUUGCAAAUCAGAAGGAAAAGUCUAACAAAUCAUAGCAUCAACAACAACUAUAAUAACAAGAAAAUGGAAGUAUAUCUAUCUCUGUAACUUGUUUGAUCCUUCCCGCUUCUUGUUCUUCUUUUCAACUAAAACCAAAAAGAUGAUGACGACAAUAGCGUGGAGGAAGUAAAAAAUCCUACAAUCGAGUCAAGGAGGACAAUGAGGAGGGGAAGGCAUUUGAUGUUAAAGGGGGCGAUGAGGUGGUUGAGGGUGUUGCAGAGGUGAUAGUCCCUCUUGAACUGGGCAGUGGUGUCCUCGAGAUCAAGAAGCACUUGCUAUUCCUCGGGGUCCCUUGCAGAGGUGAUACCCACGAAGAAGGAAAAGAGGUGUGCAAGAGGUUUCCUCGCAAGUCUGUGGCCCGAUCCUUCUUUGGCUUGUCGUUGAGAUGGUUGAAGAUCUAAAUGAUGUAAUGAAAAAUUCUUCGAAAGAGAUGUUGGUUUCCGAAAAAAUGUAAUUUUUUU